This 279-nucleotide ribosomal RNA is filed under the name uncultured bacterium. RNAcentral describes it as "partial 16S ribosomal RNA". It matches the Rfam family "Bacterial small subunit ribosomal RNA", at positions 506 to 784 of the family's 1533-position model. The record is from RNAcentral.
UGCCAGCAGCCGCGGUAAUACGGAGGGUGCAAGCGUUAUCCGGAUUUAUUGGGUUUAAAGGGUUCGUAGGCGGCCACUUAAGUCAGGGGUGAAAUUCCACGGCCCAACCGUGGAACGGCCUCUGAUACUGAGUGGCUUGAGUGUGCUAGGGGUAAGCGGAACGUGUAGUGUAGCGGUGAAAUGCGUAGAUAUUACACGGAAGGCCGGAGGCGAAGGCGGCUUACUGGGGCACAACUGACGCUGAGGAACGAAAGCGUGGGGAGCAAACAGGAUUAGAUA